AGCAGCAUGGCGCAGUUGGAAGCGCGCGGGGCCCAUACAUACUCCUUGAAAGUUGUCACCCCGAGGUCACUUGAUCGAAACAAGUUGCUGCUA
Molecule: non-coding RNA, 93 nt
Organism: Lyophyllum atratum
Lineage: Eukaryota; Fungi; Basidiomycota; Agaricomycetes; Agaricales; Lyophyllaceae
Source: the annotation of a GenBank genome assembly